Molecule: long non-coding RNA, 997 nt
Organism: Pseudoliparis swirei
Lineage: Eukaryota; Metazoa; Chordata; Actinopteri; Perciformes; Liparidae
Exons: 6
Source: RefSeq, a predicted model, not a curated record
GGUUUCGUUCUUAUAUUUCAGCGUAUAAACUACAGAAAACAUUCGUUUGCAUUAUACAUUCGCCAUUUUACGCAGCGACUGGUCGGUUGUUGUGUGUUAUCUCUCCGGGCAAAAAAAAAAAAAAAAAACACGUCUUUGCAAUUAUAUUUCUUCGUGAGCUCUCUCUUCCCUUCCUAUCAUCAACAUGGGCAAAACGAAGACAGCUGUGCAGAGUGAGGAAAGGCGGUAUUCCAAGCGGCUGGCUGCUGUGAAACCAACCAGAGCAGUGGAGACUAAGAAAAAAGCUCCUGUAAAAAAGGUGCUCAAAGCAAAGAAGGCCAAACAAGCCGAAAAUGGAAACCCCAAGACUGAGGAGCCAAAGGCCGAAGCUGCUGAAGCCAAAUGAAUAACAGUUGAAGUGCUCACUCUGUGUACUUGGUGAUUGUACAGUUUUAAAUUAGUAUUUUUUACCAAGUUUUAUAUUACAAAUGUCAUUUAUGUUUGUUUUUGGCUUGCACUUGUAACAAAAGUUUGUUGUCACAUUCAUAUCCAUUUUAUAUCGAUUUUUAAAAUGAUUACCGUCCAUAUCUCUUAGACGUGGCAUUUUAAGUUUGUCUAAUCGUUUUUUUGUUUUUUUAACUGCUGAAUAAUAGAUAUUUUCCACCAAGUUGGAAUAUGAAUCUAAUUUUAAACAUUAUGAGGCAGCUAAAGCAUAUUGUUAAAAUCUGAGGGAAAAUAGGAAUUUUACCUUUUUUAAUCUCAUGUUCUAAUGUAAACUAAUAAGAAAUUGCUUACCAAAUGUUUUGAAACACUGCAUGUUAAAACAUGUUGCAGUCAGUGAAAAUACCACACAAAAAUACAGUUAUGUCAAAAAGACUGAGACCUCCCAAAAACAUGUAUGAUGUGAACCUGGUCAUCUGAUGAUAAGUCCUGUUAAGUUAUGUUUCUCCUGGCUGAACUUUUCUGACUUUAAUGGCUGAUCUAAAUGUUGUUGAAUAAAAAAAAUUGUCAAAAUGUU